This is a long non-coding RNA of Mauremys mutica (yellowpond turtle), 247 nucleotides long. RefSeq lists it as uncharacterized. The transcript has 3 exons. The record is from RefSeq and is a predicted model, not a curated record. Lineage: Eukaryota; Metazoa; Chordata; Testudines; Geoemydidae.
GUGAGUUCGCUCACUUGUUUGUGCUCUUGUUGUGCCUGCCUUCUUGCCUCAGGAGUUGAGGGCUUCAUAGAACUGUAGCUGUAAGGCUGUAUAGUGGGCCUGUUUCAUCAGACCACAGCUCUGGUGGAAGUACUGGACCCACUGAGAUGCCAGGAUGACAUGUCUAAUUAGAAUCACACUGAAGAUCUUCGACUUUACAUUUGACUGGAAGGAGUUUGAGUGACAAAGCAUCCACCACAUCCUUAGG